GCCCAGAGCGCAUGUACUGACAAACGGUGGGGAAAAAACAGCCGCACAGAGCGACUGCAUGCUGCCAGCACAGAAGCAAUGAGCUAGAGCAGGGAGAGAGAGAGCCCUGAGAUACCUGCCAAGACUGAAACCCCUGUGUCUGAGCAAGGGGCUGCAGAUCUUUUCCAAAUUGAACAAGGGAAAAAUGAACGAGCCUUAAAUAGAUAUGCAGAUAUGCAGGGCAUACAGAUACAGACUCUGCAUUCUACUUGUUAUUCUGUGUAGUAGGAAGAUUCCAGGGCAGCUCACAGGAAUCAGUUCUUAUCAGUGCAGCUUUUUGCUUUGCCAGAAAUGUGCAGAGUAAUUGAAGAGAGCCACAGUGGGUGAAGGGAUACUGAAAAUGUACAUUACUCUGGGAUAUAUUAUUUGGACUUAGCAUAAAUUUUGCACUGUCUGUUUGUCAUUCUUCCUCAUGCCUGCUGUCGGAAAUGCGUCAGGAGACAAAAGCAAGCCUAAUUGACAGCUCUGGGGAGGCUGAAGGAUCACAGAAAAUAAGGCUAGAGGAGUUGAGAGAUGCUAUAAGUCAUCCUUUCCAUCCCCAAUGUAGAUCAGCUAAAUCCUGGGCCAUUCCUCAUGGUUGCCUCAACGUUCCUGAAAACAAGACAAUUUCCACUGUGCAUAAAAUAGCCUGAGUCAGGAGCAUCAGAUCAGAGAUCACCUUUUUGCACCCAGCUGCUGAAGCUGUCAUCGUACUCUGGGUACAUUUAUUUAACCAAAGUAACAGGGCAGUGAUCGCUGCAGAGAACUGGAACUUCCUUUCUUCAUUCAAAGAACUAAAGUUGCUAUUGUUGUAAAAAUAUCGAACUAAUUCUUUUCCACCAAAGGAACACUAGGUGAUGACUGACCUUUACAUGAAACAAUGUGAAUAUGUGAAAGAUGGCACAAGAGCAGAGGAAAGAGAAGUGCUGAAGUGAAUUUUUCUUUGCAGUACAUGUAGAAAUUUUCCAUUCUCAGUCAGAACAAAGAUGAAACUUGCAAUCACAAAAAUCUGCUUUGAAUUUAAUGGGAAAUGGGGGAAAACAAACCAAAACAAAACACAAGACCAGAGGGACUUUGAAAUGAUUCUGAAGAUUUUCUUUGUGUUAUGUAUGUUACAGCAGCAUUGAGUUUCUGCCUUGAAAAACUGAUUUGAUAUUUUAGCUUGUUAUUCCAAGUGUCAGUACCAAUGAUAGGAAAGAAAAUAAACUGAUUUUCUUAAAAUGCAGUGUUUUAAUUGAAUGCACUGAAAUAUUAUGAACCAUAAUUCCAUUGAAUUUUUCUAAGUGCUUUCUGUGAAACAUAGUAUAAUGACAUUUGCAUUUUACAAGAAAAGUGCAUUAGCUACUUUUAUAUGAGAAAGAGAGGUUAAUUCAAUUCUGGACCGUAAUGGAGGUUAAACGUAAAGCUUUAAUGUUCUGGAGUUCAUCCCAAAAUAAUAAUUCUGCUAAUGAAAUAACUCAUUUGUAAUUCAACCAGACAAAAUGGAAGCAUUUUUGAAGCUGUGUCUACAAGAAUUGAUUGCUUAACACUUAUGCAUCAGCUUAAAUCUCAGCCCUAUUUGGA
This is a long non-coding RNA of Anas platyrhynchos (mallard), 1581 nucleotides long. RefSeq lists it as uncharacterized. Lineage: Eukaryota; Metazoa; Chordata; Aves; Anseriformes; Anatidae. The record is from RefSeq and is a predicted model, not a curated record.